GACGUGUCACGGUACUAUCCCAAAUUCAUUUAUACAGCUAUUUUUGCAAAGGUACUAUUUCUGUACUAAAAAUAUGUAGUACUGGAAAUUUACUUUUAAUAUUUAGUACUAUUUUUUACUUUAAAAUUAUUGUAAUACUUAGGUACUUAUAUUUCAGAGAUCACCCCUAGUUUUUGGUGGGGCUCGUGUUGUUUAUUCUUUAGUUUUCUAUGUUGUUCCAUGUGUACUAUUGUCUUUCUGUUUGUCUUUUUCAUUUUUAGCCAUGGCGUUGUAAGUUUGUUUUAGAUUGAUGAGUUUGACUUCCCUUUGGUAUCUUUCGUCUCUCUUCUUUUACAGUACUUGAUUUGUACUAAAUAUUUUGGUACAGAAAUAAUACAAUAUUCCAUGUUUGAAAAUCAUAAUUUCAAGAGAUUUGAAAUAGGAAAACUUUCAAAAUGCUGAAAAUGUAA
RNAcentral lists this long non-coding RNA (449 nucleotides) under Mytilus galloprovincialis (Mediterranean mussel). The record is from RNAcentral. Lineage: Eukaryota; Metazoa; Mollusca; Bivalvia; Mytilida; Mytilidae.